UUUUGGCAUUAAGCCAUUAGAAAAAGAUGACUGUUACUUAAAAAGAAAAAUGAAGACCAGGCACUACCUGAGAUCUGACAGCUUCUUGGUUUGAGUCUGAACUGUGCUCUUAGUGCAACUUAGGCCCUGCAUUUCCUCCUCACAGAAGCAUGAUCAGCCUUCAGAAUAAUUCUGGAAGAACGGUGCAGUCCUGGAAUCCCAAAAGGAAACCUCUUCUAAGAUACCCAAAGAGGAAGUUGGUUGCAUUGCUCAAUAAGAAGCCCCUUGAAAAUGACAAGCAGAAGGGAGUGACCACAUGAAUAUUUCCUGUGCUGAGGUAUCCCAGCUUUUGCAGGGGUGUUGUAAGGUAACUUGUGUAACUUGUGGCUAGUCUGGAUGGCACCUCAUCCUGGAGAUGGCAUUUGAUAAUGACCAAACCUGACUAAGCCAACAUAAUGCCAAGCUGCUUCCAAUGCUGAAAGCCCUUCCCCACCUGCUUGCCUUUCUGGGUUUCUGACACAUCCCUUGCGCUGUCUCUGGUGCUCUUUGGAGCCACAGGCAGUCAGAUCAGAGGGUCCAGACAGCAGAAAACUGGGACUGCAAAAAAAGCAUUGAGUUAUAGAUCAGUUUAGCUUUCUGCUCUGGAUUAUUUACGGUUUGAUGUACAUCCCAGCAAAGAGCUUGCAGAAAGCCAGGCUGACAGAUAGGAGAGGGAGUGGGACUUCUUUCAGCUACUAAGUCUGGUGUACCUGAAUCAUAAACCUGCAGAAGGAGUCUCCUCAGUACACUGACUUUGGUAGUGAAGCUCUUUCAAACAGUGCCUGCCAU
RNAcentral lists this long non-coding RNA (807 nucleotides) under Zonotrichia albicollis (white-throated sparrow). RNAcentral describes it as "lncRNA (ENSZALG00000013081.1)". The record is from RNAcentral. Lineage: Eukaryota; Metazoa; Chordata; Aves; Passeriformes; Passerellidae.